RNAcentral lists this ribosomal RNA (253 nucleotides) under uncultured bacterium. RNAcentral's name for it is "partial 16S ribosomal RNA". It matches the Rfam family "Bacterial small subunit ribosomal RNA", at positions 524 to 776 of the family's 1533-position model. The record is from RNAcentral.
GACGAACCGUCCUAACGUUGUUCGGAAUCACUGGGCUUAAAGGGCGCGUAGGCGGUCUAGCCAGUCCGGGGUGAAAGCCUCCAGCUUAACUGGAGAAGUGCCUUGGAUACUGCUGGACUCGAGUGAGGUAGGGGUGAUGGGAACUUCCGGUGGAGCGGUGAAAUGCGUUGAUAUCGGAAGGAACGCCGGUGGCGAAAGCGCAUCACUGGACCUCUUCUGACGCUGAGGCGCGAAAGCCAGGGGAGCAAACGGG